Molecule: long non-coding RNA, 832 nt
Organism: Ixodes scapularis (black-legged tick)
Lineage: Eukaryota; Metazoa; Arthropoda; Arachnida; Ixodida; Ixodidae
Exons: 4
Source: RefSeq, a predicted model, not a curated record
AUGCCUCCCCGUCUCCCCGUCUCCCCGUGGCCAAAACAUCAAAGCAACAAGGAGUCUUUCUCCUCAUCUCUCAUCCUCACAUAGAGAUCAUACAUCAUCCUCAUCAACGAUGCCCAUCAUGUAACGUAGUUCCACACGUGCUUGCAGCAGGUAUCUGGCGUGCCUGUCACACUUCCCCUGCCGUCAUAGCGCGAAAGGAUAUGGCAAUAUAUCCGGAAAGAGUGCUCGAGGCGUAGCGUGCGUACAGUUUCUCUUGCUUUGCGCAAAAUGCGGAAAGCAGCUAAUCUUGAGCCUUGAGGUGCAACGCUGGUGUAAGCGUUGUAAAGCGGAGGUGAAGGCUCGACGCUCGACUAGUUUGCCGGACUUGGUAGCCUUAUGGUCGUGAGGAGUGCCGUAAAAAUGUUCCUCUCGGUGAAGCACGAAAAUGAUACCUCUGUUGAUGUGUGAUCACCAGCACCGUCGCGAGAAAGCAAGACAGGGAUAGGCCAGUUCGUGACAAUAAGCGGGAGCUCAUUCCAAGCCUGCGCUGUGAACAAUGCGCUCAAGUGAAGUGCAUGGCUGAAUACCUCCGAUACAUCCAGAGUUGCUGCCUCUUUGAUCCUAUGGCAUUCAGUAUGUGGGACGACGUCAAGUGAGCUGCUCGUGACUUGAAGAAAACCAAGAAGAAAAAAACAAGUUGGGGCUGCUGCUCACAGAUUGCACCACACGGAAUGAAAACUUGAAAGCUUUGAGACGAAUACCGAUUGCAGGUCCAGAAGAUCCAUAUAACCGUCUUGGCCGGCAUCCGCAGUUCCACCACCACGAGCUACAAAGUUGAAAGCAUCAUCGGGUA